This 301-nucleotide ribosomal RNA is filed under the name uncultured bacterium. RNAcentral's name for it is "partial 16S ribosomal RNA". It matches the Rfam family "Bacterial small subunit ribosomal RNA", at positions 509 to 807 of the family's 1533-position model. The record is from RNAcentral.
CAGUAGCCGCGGGAAUACGGAGGGUGCAAGCGUUAAUCGGAAUUACUGGGCGUAAAGCGCACGCAGGCGGUCUGACAAGUCAGAUGUGAAAUCCCCGGGCUUAACCUGGGAACUGCAUUUGAAACUGUCAGGCUGGAGUCUUGUAGAGGGGGGUGGAAUUCCAGGUGUAACGGUGAAAUGCGUAGAGAUCUGGAGGAAUACCGGUGGCGAAGGCGGCCCCCUGGACAAAGACUGACGCUCAGGUGCGAAAGCGUGGGGAGCAAACAGGAUUAGAUACCCGAGUAGUCCCUGUCUCUUAUAC